Long non-coding RNA from Mus musculus (house mouse), 1769 nucleotides. RefSeq annotates it as predicted gene, 30744. NCBI's taxonomy places the organism in Eukaryota, Metazoa, Chordata, Mammalia, Rodentia, Muridae. The record is from RefSeq and is a predicted model, not a curated record. The transcript has 2 exons.
CCUCUGGGGAUUACAGACUUAAAGGGUCUUAAAGGUGGAAAAGGAUUAAGACCCCUAGCUGGUGUGUAUCGGGCUCAGGAAGGGUGGGUACAGAGGAAACAGAGGAGCUACACUUAAGAGUGUCCGUCUUUCUGGUCCAUGGCUUUCUCUAGAAUGGAGAGAAUGGAAACCAUAGAGCCAGGACCCACAACGCCUGGUUCUCCGGUUCUAUCCCAGUGGUUGUGGGUAAGUCCUACCCUUCUCAGUGCCUCAGCUGCCUUUCCGUGAAAUAAACAGAUUGAACUAAGUAGUCUGGGGGGGGGGGCCUUUUCUGGUCUGGUCUGUGAAGUGAGCUGUACAGAAGCCAGUGGCCCUCAGGUGAAGAUUGGGUGUCCCAGGUCAGUCAGUUCCUGGCAAGUUCUGGCCAUGGACACCAACAGAAUGGUAAACACAGGACUUCCUCUUCAGACAAGUAAUAAGAAAUAUGAAGGCCCAGCCUGAGGUAAACAGCUCCUCAUUCAAUUUCCCAGGAGGGCUGGCCUCCCCUCUGGAUUCAAAAGGAGACAGAAAGGAAACCCCCGCUCAAGGGGUGGGGCCUCUAAUCCACCCUUUCACAGGCUCCGGAGGUAGACAAUAGCUUCAGCUCUCUGGACAGCAGGCUCUUUUCGGUUUGUGCUCCCCAUCUGACAAGAAUGCGGAAUAGCCCUAAUCCUGUCAGAGGAGUUGCUCACAAUGCCCAUAGCUCGGUCACCCCGGCAACGGGCCAAGGAUGGCGUGCCCUCCACCCCAUCAGGCCCUAAAGCUGCAUUGCUGAAAGGGGACAGGCCCCAUUCUCAGCCCUCCCCAGAACAGGGCAGGGAGGACAACAGCAGAUGGUCACCAUGGAGCCUCAUCCCUGAGAGGCCCAAUGCAGGGGGAUGAUGCAGAUGGGGGAUAAUGCAAAUGGGAGGAUCGGUCUGCUUCAACAUUCUGCUCUAACCCCACUCCCUAAAGAGCUAGGCAGAAAAGUCCUGGGCUUAGAACAGGGGAGCAGGGCAAAGGCCUUGAAUAUUCCUUCAGCUAGGAGAUUGCUCUCUCUUCUCCAUUCAGCACAGAGCCAUACUCCCACACGCCGCUUCUCCACGCUGCUUUUCUCAGCCUGAAGGGGAGAUUGCAUGGCCUGCUCUCUUCUCUACAUACAAGGGGUGAGGAGCAGUCGACGAACCCCAGUUAUCCACAAUAGGUACUAGGAGAUCCUGUCUGGCACUUCCCAGGAAGGAAAUAAGGCAUGUUAUUGGUCCUCCAUCAGUCCCCCAAAGGGUGACUGAAGACAAGGAUUGAUUUAUCACUGGUAUGGUGGGGCUAGGCCACUAUCCCCAAACUCUGCCAGCCCUAGUAUAUCAAAGUUCAAUCUACUACCACUCAAGACUAGAAAGAGCCCUGUUUGCAGAAGGCCCUUAACAGCUGGACACUAGUGAACACUCAUUACAAAUAUCUAUUUGUUAAGUCCCUGGAUGAUCUUUGCCUGAAGGAACCAGUGACCAGAUAAGGUUUCUCCGAUCCCCUCCUCCCCGGGCCUGGGUGGAGUCUCCCUCAGUUACAAGAACUAAUUUCUAGAGACCUUUGUUCUCACCUGCAGGAUUACUGGCAACUGUGCCUAAGGAUGAAAAUAAGCUGGCUGAAGCCUAAGAAGAAGGUACCAACUGCAGACAGGUACCCAACCCAAAGGAUGGCCACAGGCCAAGGUCUUUGUCCUUACACAAGUUGGGUUUGUUUGUUUUUUUUUAAUUUUUGUAAAUUUAUUAAUCUUA